CGUUCAUGCUCUGUCUCUCUCUGUCUCAAAAAUAAACGUUAAUAAAAAAUAGAAUUAAAUAAAAAAAAGAAAAAAGAAUCGGGAGCACUUUGGACCAGUGUCCUGUGUGUAGAAGGUCUUGAUAUUUGUUGAGCGAUUUUUUUUAGGGCCUUGGUGGUUUUGUAAAGAAUGCUGUGAGGAACGUUUUAAUAAAGUCACCAACAUUCCACGUGUUCCGAAAAUCUUUCUGUGUGGUUUGGCCCCUCCGUGGCUGCCUUCAUCCUCCUGAAGACCUCUGGAGUGUUGAGCUGUACUGAGACCCCCUUCUACUUAUUAGGGCUUCAAAACGAGAAGUGACACAGAAAUGGGAAUACUGCGGGGGACAAACAAGGGACAACCAUCGAAAGCAGCUCUAGGUGUCUGGAAACCCAGCAACCUGGAAAGGUCUGGAACCCAGCAGGAAGGAGGGGGUGUCUCCACGCAGGGAAUCCUCAGGUGCAGCUGAUUUCGCCUCUCUGUAAAAAGGCUCAGUUGUCUGGCCACAUACUAACAGCAUCCUCCGGAGUCACUCAGCCAAAUUAAUUGCAACAUUGCCUUCUUGCUUAGGUCGUUUGUAACCUAACAUUGUUACAGGAUAAAUGUUUACAGAGUGUGGUUCCCUUUUUUUUUUUUUUUUUUUUUAAUCUGGUUCUUACCGCAUACUACACACAAUAUUUUAAAUUUGCCAUCCUCACUGGGAGACGCCUGUUCAUUGCUCAUUUUGGUAAUACGUUGCUAACAUAGCCAACUUAUUCAUUCAAAUGUUUUGUUAUCGCCCUAUGUGUUACUUAACGUGAAAUUGUGUUUUGGAAAAAAUAAAUCACUAUGGAUAGUAA
Lynx canadensis (Canada lynx) is the source of this 854-nucleotide long non-coding RNA. RefSeq lists it as uncharacterized. The record is from RefSeq and is a predicted model, not a curated record. NCBI's taxonomy places the organism in Eukaryota, Metazoa, Chordata, Mammalia, Carnivora, Felidae. The transcript has 2 exons.